Molecule: ribosomal RNA, 938 nt
Filed under: Coniochaeta discospora
Lineage: Eukaryota; Fungi; Ascomycota; Sordariomycetes; Coniochaetales; Coniochaetaceae
Description: eukaryotic LSU rRNA
Rfam family: Eukaryotic large subunit ribosomal RNA
Source: RNAcentral
AAGGUUGACCUCGGAUCAGGUAGGAAUACCCGCUGAACUUAAGCAUAUCAAUAAGCGGAGGAAAAGAAACCAACAGGGAUUGCCCUAGUAACGGCGAGUGAAGCGGCAACAGCUCAAAUUUGAAAUCUGGCUUCGGCCCGAGUUGUAAUUUGUAGAGGAUGCUUUUGGCGAGGUGCCUUCUGAGUUCCCUGGAACGGGACGCCAGAGAGGGUGAGAGCCCCGUAUAGUCGGACACCUAGCCUCUGUAAAGCUCCUUCGACGAGUCGAGUAGUUUGGGAAUGCUGCUCAAAAUGGGAGGUAUAUCUCUUCUAAAGCUAAAUAUAGGCCAGAGACCGAUAGCGCACAAGUAGAGUGAUCGAAAGAUGAAAAGCACUUUGAAAAGAGGGUUAAAUAGCACGUGAAAUUGUUGAAAGGGAAGCGCUUGUGACCAGACUUGUGCCGGGCUGAUCAUCCAGUGUUCUCACUGGUGCACUCGACCCGGCUCAGGCCAGCGUCGGUUCUCGCAGGGGGAUAAAAGCUUCGGGAACGUGGCUCCUCCGGGAGUGUUAUAGCCCGUUGCUUAAUACCCUUGCGGGGACCGAGGUUCGCGCUCUGCAAGGACGCUGGCAUAAUGGUCAUCAGCGACCCGUCUUGAAACACGGACCAAGGAGUCGAGGUUUUGCGCGAGUGUUUGGGUGUAAAACCCGCACGCGUAAUGAAAGUGAACGUAGGUGAGAGCUUCGGCGCAUCAUCGACCGAUCCUGAUGUAUUCGGAUGGAUUUGAGUAAGAGCGUAAAGCCUCGGACCCGAAAGAUGGUGAACUAUGCCUGAAUAGGGUGAAGCCAGAGGAAACUCUGGUGGAGGCUCGCAGCGGUUCUGACGUGCAAAUCGAUCGUCAAAUUUGGGCAUGGGGGCGAAAGACUAAUCGAACCAUCUAGUAGCUGGUUACCGCCGAAGUU